This 484-nucleotide ribosomal RNA is filed under the name uncultured bacterium. RNAcentral's name for it is "partial 16S ribosomal RNA". It matches the Rfam family "Bacterial small subunit ribosomal RNA", at positions 30 to 507 of the family's 1533-position model. The record is from RNAcentral.
AUUGAACGCUGGCGGCAGGCCUAACACAUGCAAGUCGAGCGGAUGAAGGGAGCUUGCUCCUGGAUUCGGCGGCGGACGGGUGAGUAAUGCCUAGGAAUCUGCCUGGUAGUGGGGGAUAACGUCCGGAAACGGGCGCUAAUACCGCAUACGUCCUGAGGGAGAAAGUGGGGGAUCUUCGGACCUCACGCUAUCAGAUGAGCCUAGGUCGGAUUAGCUAGUUGGUGGGGUAAAGGCCUACCAAGGCGACGAUCCGUAACUGGUCUGAGAGGAUGAUCAGUCACACUGGAACUGAGACACGGUCCAGACUCCUACGGGAGGCAGCAGUGGGGAAUAUUGGACAAUGGGCGAAAGCCUGAUCCAGCCAUGCCGCGUGUGUGAAGAAGGUCUUCGGAUUGUAAAGCACUUUAAGCUGGGAGGAAGGGCAGUAAGUUAAUACCUUGCUGUUUUGACGUUACCAACAGAAUAAGCACCGGCUAACUUCGUG